GGAGUCCGAAGCGGACAGAAGGGAGCUUGCUCCCGGAUGUUAGCGGCGGACGGGUGAGUAACACGUGGGUAACCUGCCUGUAAGACUGGGAUAACUCCGGGAAACCGGAGCUAAUACCGGAUAGUUCCUUGAACCGCAUGGUUCAAGGAUGAAAGACGGUUUCGGCUGUCACUUACAGAUGGACCCGCGGCGCAUUAGCUAGUUGGUGAGGUAACGGCUCACCAAGGCGACGAUGCGUAGCCGACCUGAGAGGGUGAUCGGCCACACUGGGACUGAGACACGGCCCAGACUCCUACGGGAGGCAGCAGUAGGGAAUCUUCCGCAAUGGACGAAAGUCUGACGGAGCAACGCCGCGUGAGUGAUGAAGGUUUUCGGAUCGUAAAGCUCUGUUGUUAGGGAAGAACAAGUGCAAGAGUAACUGCUUGCACCUUGACGGUACCUAACCAGAAAGCCACGGCUAACUACGUGCCAGCAGCCGCGGUAAUACGUAGGUGGCAAGCGUUGUCCGGAAUUAUUGGGCGUAAAGGGCUCGCAGGCGGUUUCUUAAGUCUGAUGUGAAAGCCCCCGGCUCAACCGGGGAGGGUCAUUGGAAACUGGGAAACUUGAGUGCAGAAGAGGAGAGUGGAAUUCCACGUGUAGCGGUGAAAUGCGUAGAGAUGUGGAGGAACACCAGUGGCGAAGGCGACUCUCUGGUCUGUAACUGACGCUGAGGAGCGAAAGCGUGGGGAGCGAACAGGAUUAGAUACCCUGGUAGUCCACGCCGUAAACGAUGAGUGCUAAGUGUUAGGGGGUUUCCGCCCCUUAGUGCUGCAGCUAACGCAUUAAGCACUCCGCCUGGGGAGUACGGUCGCAAGACUGAAACUCAAGGAAUUGACGGGGGCCCGCACAAGCGGUGGAGCAUGUGGUUUAAUUCGAAGCAACGCGAGAACCUUACCAGGUCUUGACAUCCUCUGACAACCCUAGAGAUAGGGCUUUCCCUUCGGGGACAGA
Molecule: ribosomal RNA, 990 nt
Filed under: Bacillus altitudinis
Lineage: Bacteria; Bacillati; Bacillota; Bacilli; Caryophanales; Bacillaceae
Description: bacterial SSU rRNA
Rfam family: Bacterial small subunit ribosomal RNA
Source: RNAcentral